This 763-nucleotide ribosomal RNA is filed under the name Corynebacterium sp. 'Mali 33'. Its description in RNAcentral is "bacterial SSU rRNA". It matches the Rfam family "Bacterial small subunit ribosomal RNA", at positions 1 to 777 of the family's 1533-position model. Lineage: Bacteria; Bacillati; Actinomycetota; Actinomycetes; Mycobacteriales; Corynebacteriaceae. The record is from RNAcentral.
CAACAGAGUUUGAUCCUGGCUCAGGACGAACGCUGGCGGCGUGCUUAACACAUGCAAGUCGAACGAUGAUGCCCAAGCUUGCUUGGGUGGAUUAGUGGCGAACGGGUGAGUAACACGUGGGUGAUCUGCCCCGCACUUCGGGAUAAGCCUGGGAAACUGGGUCUAAUACCGGAUACGACCCCCUGGUAGGUCAGGGGGUGGAAAGAUUUAUCGGUGUGGGAUGAGCCUGCGGCCUAUCAGCUUGUUGGUGGGGUAAUGGCCUACCAAGGCGUCGACGGGUAGCCGGCCUGAGAGGGUGAUCGGCCACAUUGGGACUGAGACACGGCCCAGACUCCUACGGGAGGCAGCAGUGGGGAAUAUUGCACAAUGGGCGCAAGCCUGAUGCAGCGACGCCGCGUGGGGGAUGACGGCCUUCGGGUUGUAAACUCCUUUCGACAGGGACGAAGCGUUAAAGUGACGGUACCUGUAGAAGAAGCACCGGCUAACUACGUGCCAGCAGCCGCGGUAAUACGUAGGGUGCGAGCGUUGUCCGGAAUUACUGGGCGUAAAGAGCUCGUAGGUGGUUUGUCGCGUCGUCUGUGAAAUCCCGGGGCUUAACCUCGGGCGUGCAGGCGAUACGGGCAUAACUUGAGUGCUGUAGGGGAGACUGGAAUUCCUGGUGUAGCGGUGAAAUGCGCAGAUAUCAGGAGGAACACCAAUGGCGAAGGCAGGUCUCUGGGCAGUAACUGACGCUGAGGAGCGAAAGCAUGGGUAGCGAACAGGA